Molecule: small nuclear RNA, 104 nt
Filed under: Chinchilla lanigera (long-tailed chinchilla)
Lineage: Eukaryota; Metazoa; Chordata; Mammalia; Rodentia; Chinchillidae
Source: RNAcentral
GUGCUUGCUUCAGAAGCACAGAUACUAAAAUUGGAAUGAUACAGAGAUUAGCAUGGCCCCUAGGCAAGGAUGUCACACAGAUUUGUGAAGGGUUCCAUAUUUUU